AUGUAUAUUACUUUCUUGUCAGUGGACGUAUGUCGCAGGAAAUGGAAGUCCCUCAGGGACAGGUACAUGAGGGAGAAAAGGAGGGAGAAAGAGGAGGGAAAAAGGAGCGGGUCAGCGGCAAGGACAGGGAAGAAAUGGAAGUUCUUUGCGGUCCUGUCCUUCCUCGACCCCUUUGUCACACCGAGGGAGACCAGCAGCAACCUUCCUUGGUGUGCAGAGAUGGAGGUAGAGAUAGAGGAUGACGGGGCUGCAGAGACUUCAGGGGUAGGAGAAGCAGACGAGGAGCGUGAUGAGGCAGCAGCAGCAGCAGGGCCAUCGCACAAUACAGAUCAGCUGUCAGGAAAUGAAUCGGACCCUGUCGAUGUUCCUGCUGCUGCUGCUACUGCUGCUACUCCUGCCCCUGUCCCUGCCGCUGGCCCUGGCCCUGGCCCUGCCCCAAGUCCACCGAGCGGGAGGAAGAGAGCAAGCGGGGUACCAUGUGGGAACACCCCGAUACAGGAGGCCAUCCUCCAGGCCCUGCAGAGGGAUGGAGAGUUGUGCGCAGACGCACAGUUUUUAAACGGCCUACUUCCUUCCCUGAAGAGAUUGCCACCAGACGCAAAGGAGUAUGUGAAAUUCCAAAUUCAGUCAUAUUUGACGCCACCCAAUUCACCCUUAAUUUGGAACCCGUCUAAUCAUGCUCCUGCUCAUUAGCAAGAGUGGUGGUGACAAUCUCUCCAGGGAAAGAACUGGGCUGCUGUGACAAAAAAGAAGCUGUUUGUGAGAAAGGUAGUUAGUUAGGUAAAUCCUUUCUCACAAACAGCUUCUUUUUUAGGAAGAUGUUAAUGUUCUUGUUCUUGUGUUCUGUUUUACAUUUAUAAUAUAUUGUUCUAUGUUGUUUUGUUAGUCG
Molecule: long non-coding RNA, 889 nt
Filed under: Gadus morhua (Atlantic cod)
Lineage: Eukaryota; Metazoa; Chordata; Actinopteri; Gadiformes; Gadidae
Description: lncRNA (ENSGMOG00000034366.1)
Source: RNAcentral